This 433-nucleotide ribosomal RNA is filed under the name uncultured bacterium. RNAcentral describes it as "partial 16S ribosomal RNA". It matches the Rfam family "Bacterial small subunit ribosomal RNA", at positions 29 to 507 of the family's 1533-position model. The record is from RNAcentral.
AGCGAACGCUGGCGGCAGGCCUAACACAUGCAAGUCGAACGAACUCUUCGGAGUUAGUGGCGGACGGGUGAGUAACCCGUGGGAACGUUCCCUUUGGUUCGGAAUAACUCUGGGAAACUUGUGAUAAUACCGAAUGUGACCUUCGGGGGAAAGAUUUAUUGCGAUUGGAGCGGCCCGCGUCUGAUUCGCUAGUUGGUGAGGUAAUGGCUCACUAAGGCGACGAUCAGUAGCUGGUCUGAGAGACUGACUAGCGACACUAGGACUGAGACACGGCCCGGACUCCUACGGGAGGCAGCAGUGGGGAAUCUUGCGCAAUGGGGGAAAGGCUGACGCAGCCAUGCCGCGUGAAUGAUGAAGGUCUUAGGAUUGUAAAAUUCUUUCACCGGGGACGAUAAUGACGGUACCCGGAGAAGAAGCCCCGGCUAACUUCGUG